CCUACGGGAGGCUGCAGUGAGGAAUAUUGGUCAAUGGCCGAGAGGCUGAACCAGCCAAGUCGCGUGAGGGAAGACGGCCCUACGGGUUGUAAACCUCUUUUGUCGGGGAGCAAAGCGAACCACGUGUGGUUCAUUGAGAGUACCCGAAGAAAAAGCAUCGGCUAACUCCGUGCCAGCAGCCGCGGUAAUACGUAGGGGGCAAGCGUUAUCCGGAUUUACUGGGUGUAAAGGGAGCGUAGACGGCAGAGCAAGUCUGAAGUGAAAGCCCGCGGCCCAACUGCGGGACUGCUUUGGAAACUGCCCGGCUAGAGUGCUGGAGAGGUAAGCGGAAUUCCUAGUGUAGCGGUGAAAUGCGUAGAUAUUAGGAGGAACACCAGUGGCGAAGGCGGCUUACUGGACAGUAACUGACGCUGAUGCGCGAAAGCGUGGGGAGCAAACAGGAUUAGAUACCCCAGUAGUC
Molecule: ribosomal RNA, 460 nt
Filed under: uncultured bacterium
Lineage: Bacteria
Description: partial 16S ribosomal RNA
Rfam family: Bacterial small subunit ribosomal RNA
Source: RNAcentral